Molecule: transfer RNA, 84 nt
Filed under: Binatia bacterium
Lineage: Bacteria; Candidatus Binatota; Binatia (SeqCode)
Description: tRNA-Leu
Rfam family: tRNA
About the family: Transfer RNA (tRNA) molecules are approximately 80 nucleotides in length.
Source: RNAcentral
GCCGGGGUGGUGGAACUGGCAGACACAAGGGACUUAAAAUCCCUUGGGGGCUUCCCCGUGGGGGUUCGAAUCCCCUCCCCGGCA